GAUCCUGGCUCAGGAUGAACGCUAGCUACAGGCUUAACACAUGCAAGUCGAGGGGAAACGACAUCGAAAGCUUGCUUUUGAUGGGCGUCGACCGGCGCACGGGUGAGUAACGCGUAUCCAACCUGCCCAUCACUUGGGAAUAACCUUGCGAAAGUAAGACUAAUACCCAAUGAUAUCCCACGAAGGCAUCCGAAUGGGAUUAAAGAUUUAUCGGUGAUGGAUGGGGAUCCGNGUCUGAUUAG
RNAcentral lists this ribosomal RNA (242 nucleotides) under uncultured bacterium. RNAcentral describes it as "partial 16S ribosomal RNA". It matches the Rfam family "Bacterial small subunit ribosomal RNA", at positions 15 to 244 of the family's 1533-position model. The record is from RNAcentral.